AUGGCGACCGCCGCCGGCCCCGUCGGCGGGCUGUCGGCGAAGGACGAGAUUAGGGAGGUGGAGAUGGAGAUCAUGAACCCGCCGGAGGAGGCGGCGGAGCGGGCCGGGCUGAAGAGGGCCUGGGGCUCCGCGAGCGCCGGCGCUUCUCAUGGUUUUAUUGGAGUGACUACUGCUGAAAAGAAGCCAACACUCCUGCCUCAUAACAAUGUCAAAUAUCUGAAGAAAACUGGCAGUGGCAAUCUUCUACGUUCGGAUAUGCCAGAUACUAAUGCUUGGAGAUUUAGUAGCUCAUCUCCUGGUGGAGAUCUGGGGAGCAAAACCAGAACCCCUACGAGUACCUUUAAUGCUCAAGGAAAGAAUUGCACUUCUCCUCAUGAAAGAGAGGGUUCUGGUUUUGGUAACCUGUGGAGUCAAGAAGAAAAUGCUGGUUCACUCACAUCAGUUGGUUAUGGGAAACAUAGAGGCUCUGAAGAAGGAUUUGAAGCACAAUGUGUAUCCAACUUGAAUGAUCUGCACAACUAUGGGCGAUAUAGGACCCUCAUUCAUUCUUAUGGCGAAGAUAAUAGGGGGCUGGCUCAUAACUCGCCCAACCUAAAUAUUUCGGAGAGGUCUUGCAGAACUGAUAAUUUAUGGACUACAAAGCCUACCCCUCCUGUAAAUGAGCUGGUGCAGAUCUCAGUUCAAGGGAAAAACCACAAACCUAGUCUCAUGGGACGCCAUAUUAGUUUGCCCUCUGAUAGCUACUUGGAUGGCAGGGGAACCUUAAGUAGAUUGCAUUUAGAUGGAGAAAAUCUGUUGCCGGAUCUGAAUGUGGCCAAAGCAAGCAGCCUAAGUGAUUCUCAUGUCUCUGAUUAUUGGCAUCGGCCAUUUGACUCAUCUGUUUCAUUUGACUAUCCCCAGUAUGGUGAGAAGCGAUCUGUUUAUGGUGGACCAACAGAAAAUCUUCCUCACAAACAUCAGAAAGAACAUAGUUCAAGCUUUGCCUCAUACGGCUCAAACAGUAUAACAGGGUUCAGAAGUCCAGGCUACAAUAGCUCUGCUCAUUCCUUGGGUAGCCAACCUUCUCGAGCAAUUACUCACCUAGGAAUGCCGUCCCCUCAUCAGUUAACACCUGGUAUUGAGAAAUUUGGUCUCCAUAAAGAUGUAUAUUUUGACAAGGGCUGUGGUACAUCUAGGCUUGGGUUACGUGCAAGCAGUUCAUGCCAACCUGAGCACCUUUCCCCAAUCAAGGAUGACCCUUGGGUAACUUCAGUGCCUUUUGUACCUCUUGUUGAGUUUCCCAACAGUACAUCACCUUCAAAUAGUCCAUAUGACCCACUUGCUGACAGUAUGGACCCUCCCAAAGUUGAAAGUGGCAAUAUUCUCAAGUCCUCCAACAUAUCCUGCAGCAUUUCAAGUCAGCACACUGCUGGGAAUGGUGUUAUAUAUGGAGAUAUCAACAAAUCAUUGAUUUAUGCUGAUAAGUUGGCAAGGAAUAUGUCGGCAAAAGGGUCAAAUGAGUUUGCAGGCUUGGUUGCACCUGUUAAGGAACGCUCUAGUCUGGAUGUCGAUACUUUGGUGAAAGCUUUUGAAAGAACCAAAGAUGGAGCAAUUGAUGAGAAAACGAGGGAUUAUUUCCGUAUUCAUUUGGCAGAACAUGUGAAGGAGUUGCUGAAACCUAUUUGGAAGGAAGGCAAACUGAGUAAAGAUGCUCAUAAACUGAUAGUAAAAAAAUCUGUUGACAAAGUUCUUGCUUCAGUUGAUCUGCAUCAAGUACCAGCUACUAAAGAAUUGAUAACUGAUUAUAUAACCAUGUCUGGAACAAAGAUUGAAAAGCUUGUGAAGGCAUAUGUUGAUAGGCAUGGUACAAGAUGA
This 1854-nucleotide ribosomal RNA is filed under the name Triticum aestivum (bread wheat). RNAcentral describes it as "partial small subunit ribosomal RNA". Lineage: Eukaryota; Viridiplantae; Streptophyta; Magnoliopsida; Poales; Poaceae. The record is from RNAcentral.